AGAGACUCAAUUCUUAGGUUUUCAUAUCCAACGUUUGACCGUCUAUCUUAUAUAAAUUUCUUUUAUAAUUAGUGUUUUCAUUAUUGUUAGAUGAUAAAACAUGAACAAUAUUUUAUGAACGACUUAUCUUUUUAUUUUUUUCAUAAUUUUUUCAAAUAAGACGGACGGUCAAAUGUUAAACACGGAAACCCAGGAAUCAAGUCAUU
This is a non-coding RNA of Oryza barthii, 206 nucleotides long. NCBI's taxonomy places the organism in Eukaryota, Viridiplantae, Streptophyta, Magnoliopsida, Poales, Poaceae. The record is from Rfam.